This 460-nucleotide ribosomal RNA is filed under the name uncultured bacterium. RNAcentral describes it as "partial 16S ribosomal RNA". It matches the Rfam family "Bacterial small subunit ribosomal RNA", at positions 338 to 795 of the family's 1533-position model. The record is from RNAcentral.
CCUACGGGAGGCAGCAGUGAGGAAUAUUGGUCAAUGGACGAGAGUCUGAACCAGCCAAGUAGCGUGAAGGAUGACUGCCCUAUGGGUUGUAAACUUCUUUUAUAUGGGAAUAAAACGUUCCACGUGUGGGAUUUUGUAUGUACCAUAUGAAUAAGGAUCGGCUAACUCCGUGCCAGCAGCCGCGGUAAUACGGAGGAUCCGAGCGUUAUCCGGAUUUAUUGGGUUUAAAGGGAGCGUAGGUGGAUUGUAAAGUCAGUUGUGAAAGUUUGCGGCUCAACCGUAAAAUUGCAGUUGAAACUGGCAGUCUUGAGUACAGUAGAGGUGGGCGGAAUUCGUGGUGUAGCGGUGAAAUGCUUAGAUAUCACGAAGAACUCCGAUUGCGAAGGCAGUUCACUGGACUGCAACUGACACUGAGGCUCGAAAGUGUGGGUAUCAAACAGGAUUAGAUACCCCUGUAGUC